Molecule: ribosomal RNA, 468 nt
Filed under: uncultured bacterium
Lineage: Bacteria
Description: partial 16S ribosomal RNA
Rfam family: Bacterial small subunit ribosomal RNA
Source: RNAcentral
GACGAACGCUGGCGGCGUGCUUAACACAUGCAAGUCGAACGGAAAGGCCCUGCUUUUGUGGGGUGCUCGAGUGGCGAACGGGUGAGUAGCACGUGAGUAACCUGCCCUUGACUUUGGGAUAACUUCAGGAAACUGGGGCUAAUACCGGAUAGGAGCUCCUGCUGCAUGGUGGGGGUUGGAAAGUUUCGGCGGUUGGGGAUGGACUCGCGGCUUAUCAGCUUGUUGGUGGGGUAGUGGCUUACCAAGGCUUUGACGGGUAGCCGGCCUGAGAGGGUGACCGGCAACAUUGGGACUGAGAUACGGCCCAGACUCAUACGGGAGGCAGCAGUGGGGAAUAUUGCACAAUGGGCGGAAGCCUGAUGCAGCAACGCCGCGUGCGGGAUGACGGCCUUCGGGUUGUAAACCGCUUUCGCCUGUGACGAAGCGUGAGUGACGGUAAUGGGUAAAGAAGCACCGGCUAACUACGUG